Molecule: long non-coding RNA, 734 nt
Filed under: Pan troglodytes (chimpanzee)
Lineage: Eukaryota; Metazoa; Chordata; Mammalia; Primates; Hominidae
Description: long non-coding RNA NONPTRT000513
Source: RNAcentral
CAGCCCCUAGCAUGAGCUCAAAGGCACCUCCUGGCCUGUAAGACCUCGGUCCCCAAAGACAGCCAGUCAGGUCCCCACGGGAAAUGGUAAAAGGAGAAAGCAUUGCCUGGGAAUAAAACUUCAGCUGGCAGGAACUGAAGACAGCAUGAUCACACUUCAGAAAUACAGAUGGGAAUUCUGAAGAUGGACUAAAAUGCCUACCUGUACCCUGGGUCUAAAGGUAGCUGAGGGGCAGUUUAUGGACAAGGUGUGGAGGAAGCCCAGGAUAUGCACAGCUGUGGGCACAAGGCUCUUCACAGUGUGGGCUGGAGCUGCAGAAACCUACACAGGAGUCCACUAUCACCUCAAACUCAGCCUCUGUGACAAUGUGAUCAGCAGUUUCACCCCAUCCUCCUCUGCUCAAUUUCCUGCCUUUGUCAAGGCUUCAGUCUCCUCCUUGGCGCUCAGUGUCCCAUCCUGCCCAUCCUGCUGAAAUGCAUCUAAGAAGACUGGGGAGGGCAAUGGCCACAGAGGGGUGGCAGAAGGCCAUCCUGUCCACUCCCCACCGGCAGGCACAAUGACCACUCCCAGCUCCUCCAGAUUCCCCAAAGCAGCCACUAUCCCCACCUUGUCUGCAAGUUCCCAUGUCCUCCACACACCCCUCUGCUGCACAUUCUUCCCAACCUAACUACAAAGAACUGAAUGGAAUCAGUUUUGUUUCCAUACACCAGGAAUAAAUAAAAUGGUUACUCCAG